AUAGCGACUCAACUGAGCAACGCGGUUGAACGGCUUCAACGUAAUUUAAUGUCAUGAACCAAUCCGAUAUCGAACCCCUCGCUGCGCCGCCGGCCGUCGAGAUCCAGCGCGCCCAGGCACAGCGGCUGGAGAAAACGUGGGAAACGCCGUCAGGUUUUCGCUACUGGUCCUCGGUCAAUAAUUCUGACGUGGGACUUUGGUAUACCGGAAUGACAUUGUUUUUUCUGCUCUAUGGCGGCGUGCUGGCGCUCCUCAUGC
Molecule: unclassified non-coding RNA, 258 nt
Filed under: uncultured fungus
Lineage: Eukaryota; Fungi
Description: sequence contains ITS1
Source: RNAcentral